Molecule: long non-coding RNA, 1104 nt
Filed under: Manacus vitellinus (golden-collared manakin)
Lineage: Eukaryota; Metazoa; Chordata; Aves; Passeriformes; Pipridae
Description: lncRNA (ENSMVIG00005009165.1)
Source: RNAcentral
GGUCGGCACACACCUCCCGCCGCGGCCGCGCGCCAUUGGCGGGGCGGGGGCGGCUCCGUCCUCGCACCCGCUUCAGUCCUCAGACCCCUCGCACCCAUUUCAGUCCUCACACAGUCCUCAGACCCCUCGCACCCAUUUCAGUCCUCACACAGUCCUCAGACCCCUCGCACCCAUUUCAGUCCUCACACAGUCCUCAGACCCCUCGCACCCAUUUCAGUCCUCACACAGUCCUCAGACCCCUCGCACCCAUUUCAGUCCUCACUCCCUUCACAGCCGUCACAGUCCUUAGACCUCUCGCACUCCUCACGGGCCCCACAGUCCUCAGACCCCUCACAGUCCUCAGAUGCCUCACACCCUCCCCUCAGACCCCUCACAGUCCUCACUCCCCUCAAACCCUCCCGUCAGACUCCUCACUCCCCUCACUGUCCUCACACCCUCCCCUCAGACCCCUCAGUCCUCACUCCCCUCACACCCUCCCCUCAGACCCCUCACAGUCCUCACUCCCCUCACAGCCUCCCCUCAGACCCCUCACAGUCCUCACUCCCCUCACAGCCUCCCCUCAGACCCCUCACAGUCCUCACUCCCCUCACAGCCUCCCCUCAGACCCCUCACAGUCCUCACUCCCCUCACAGCCUCCCCUCAGACCCCUCACAGUCCUCACUCCCCUCACAGCCUCCCCUCAGACCCCUCACUCCCCUCACUGUCCUCACACCCUCCCCUCAGACCCCUCACUGUCCUCACACCUCUUACGCUCCUCACUCCCCUCACACCCCUCACAGUCCUCACUCCCCUCAGACCCCUUGUUGCCUAAAAUGGAAGAAAAGAACCCUCAGACCCCUACUCACCUCACAUUCCACCGGCCUUGGGUCCCUCUGCGCCGCCGCAGCUUCACUGAGAUCCGGGGCGGAGGUAGGCGAGCCUAAGGCAUCAAGACUUUCAAUCAAGUGUGUGCCCGCCUGCCUGAGGGCAGGCGAGGGGGGACCCAUCGCUGCACAAAAACACUGCUGGCUUUCCAAAAUCAUGGAAGCGCGUGUUCGCCUUCACAUUUGCACUUUGUUCAGGGAAAAAACCCCAAAAAACAAACUUAUAAGAAAACCCACUUGA